Molecule: ribosomal RNA, 253 nt
Filed under: uncultured bacterium
Lineage: Bacteria
Description: partial 16S ribosomal RNA
Rfam family: Bacterial small subunit ribosomal RNA
Source: RNAcentral
CACGUAGGGGACGAGCGUUGUCCGGAUUCAUUGGGCGUAAAGCGCGCGUAGGCGGCUCGGAAAGUCGGGAGUGAAAGCCCGGGGCUCAACCCCGGAAUGGCUUUCGAAACUGCUGAGCUAGAGUACAGAAGGGGCAACCGGAAUUCCCAGUGUAGCGGUGAAAUGCGUAGAUAUUGGGAAGAACACCUGAGGCGAAGGCGGGUUGCUGGGCUGAUACUGACGCUGAGGCGCGAAAGCCAGGGGAGCAAACGGG